This 908-nucleotide ribosomal RNA is filed under the name uncultured archaeon. Its description in RNAcentral is "bacterial SSU rRNA". It matches the Rfam family "Archaeal small subunit ribosomal RNA", at positions 1 to 909 of the family's 1478-position model. The record is from RNAcentral.
UUCCGGUUGAUCCUGCCGGAGGUUACUGCUAUCGGAGUUCGAUUAAGCCAUGCGAGUCUAAAGGUUUCUUCGGAAACCUUGGCGGACUGCUCAGUAACACGUGGAUAACCUACCCUUGGGACUGGGAUAACCCCGGGAAACUGGGGAUAAUACCGGAUAGAUCAGGGAUGCUGGAAUGCGCCUUGAUCCAAAGCUCCGGCGCCCAAGGAUGGGUCUGCGGCCUAUCAGGUUGUAGUGGGUGUAACGUACCUACUAGCCGAUGACGGGUACGGGUUGUGAGAGCAAGAGCCCGGAGAUGGAUUCUGAGACACGAAUCCAGGCCCUACGGGGUGCAGCAGGCGCGAAACCUUUACAAUGUGCGAAAGCAUGAUAAGGGAACUCCGAGUGCCAGCAUCUAAUGCUGGCUGUCCUUGUGCCUAAAACGCGCAAGAUAGCAAGGGCCGGGUAAGACCGGUGCCAGCCGCCGCGGUAACACCGGCGGCCCGAGUGGUAGCCGCUAUUAUUGGGUCUAAAGGGUCCGUAGCCGGUUCGAUAAGUCCUCUGGGAAAUCUGGUUGCUUAACAAUCAGACUGCCAAGGGAUACUGUCGAACUUGAGACCGGGAGAGGUAAGAGGUACUUCAGGGGUAGGAGUGAAAUCUUGUAAUCCCUGGGGGACCAUCUGUGGCGAAGGCGUCUUACCAGAACGGGUCUGACGGUGAGGGACGAAAGCUGGGGGCGCAAACCGGAUUAGAUACCCGGGUAGUCCCAGCCGUAAACGAUGCUCGCUAUGUGUCAGGUACGGUGUGACCGUAUCUGGUGCCGUAGGGAAGCCGUGAAGCGAGCCACCUGGGAAGUACGGGCGCAAGGCUGAAACUUAAAGGAAUUGGCGGGGGAGCACUACAACGGGUGGAGCCUGCGGUUUAAUUGG